RNAcentral lists this ribosomal RNA (497 nucleotides) under uncultured bacterium. Its description in RNAcentral is "partial 16S ribosomal RNA". It matches the Rfam family "Bacterial small subunit ribosomal RNA", at positions 28 to 507 of the family's 1533-position model. The record is from RNAcentral.
GAUGAACGCUGGCGGCGUGCCUAAUACAUGCAAGUCGAGCGAACGGAUGAGAAGCUUGCUUCUCUGACGUUAGCGGCGGACGGGUGAGUAACACGUGGAUAACCUACCUAUAAGACUGGGAUAACUUCGGGAAACCGGAGCUAAUACCGGAUAAUAUUUUGAACCGCAUGGUUCAAAAGUGAAAGACGGUCUUGCUGUCACUUAUAGCUGGAUCCGCGCUGCAUUAGCUAGUUGGUAAGGUAACGGCUUACCAAGGCAACGAUGCAUAGCCGACCUGAGAGGGUGAUCGGCCACACUGGAACUGAGACACGGUCCAGACUCCUACGGGAGGCAGCAGUAGGGAAUCUUCCGCAAUGGGCGAAAGCCUGACGGAGCAACGCCGCGUGAGUGAUGAAGGUCUUCGGAUCGUAAAACUCUGUUAUUAGGGAAGAACAUAUGUGUAAGUAACUGUGCACAUCUUGACGGUACCUAAUCAGAAAGCCACGGCUAACUACGUG